Molecule: ribosomal RNA, 409 nt
Filed under: bacterium
Lineage: Bacteria
Description: partial 16S ribosomal RNA
Rfam family: Bacterial small subunit ribosomal RNA
Source: RNAcentral
UGGGGAAUAUUGCACAAUGGGCGAAAGCCUGAUGCAGCGACGCCGCGUGAGGGAUGACGGCCUUCGGGUUGUAAACCUCUUUCAGCAGGGACGAAGCGCAAGUGACGGUACCUGCAGAAGAAGCACCGGCUAACUACGUGCCAGCAGCCGCGGUAAUACGUAGGGUGCAAGCGUUGUCCGGAAUUACUGGGCGUAAAGAGUUCGUAGGCGGUUUGUCGCGUCGUUUGUGAAAACCAGCAGCUCAACUGCUGGCUUGCAGGCGAUACGGGCAGACUUGAGUACUGCAUGGGAGACUGGAAUUCCUGGUGUAGCGGUGAAAUGCGCAGAUAUCAGGAGGAACACCGGUGGCGAAGGCGGGUCUCUGGGCAGUAACUGACGCUGAGGAACGAAAGCGUGGGUAGCGAACAGG